GGGUCAGUAGGUUGGUCGUGCCACCGGUACGUACUGGUCUCACUGAUUCCUCCUUCCUGAAGAACCGUAAUGCCAUUAAUUUGGUGUUGCGGGGAAACAGGACUGUUACUUUGAAAAAAUGAGAGUGUAUAAAGCAAGCUAACGCUUGAAUACAUUAGCAUGGAAUAAUGAAAUAGGACGAUCGAUCCUAUUUUGUUGGUUUCUAGGAUUGACGUA
Molecule: ribosomal RNA, 216 nt
Filed under: Glomeromycotina sp.
Lineage: Eukaryota; Fungi; Glomeromycota
Description: partial small subunit ribosomal RNA
Rfam family: Eukaryotic small subunit ribosomal RNA (bases 40-216)
Source: RNAcentral